CCUACGGGUGGCAGCAGUGAGGAAUAUUGGUCAAUGGGCUCGAGCCUGAACCAGCCAAGUAGCGUGAAGGAUGACUGCCCUACGGGUUGUAAACUUCUUUUAUAAAGGAAUAAAGUGAGGCACGUGUGCCUUUUUGUAUGUACUUUAUGAAUAAGGAUCGGCUAACUCCGGUCCAGCAGCCGCGGUAAUACGGAGGAUACGAGCGUUAUCCGGAUUUAUUGGGUUUAAAGGGUGCGUAGGCGGAAUGCCAAGUCAGCGGUAAAAUCGCGGGGCUCAACCUCGCUCCGCCGUUGAAACUGGCGUUCUUGAGUGGGCGAGAGGUAUGCGGAAUGCGUGGUGUAGCAGUGAAAUGCUUAGAUAUCACGAAGAACUCCGAUUGCGAAGGCAGUUCACUGGACUGCAACUGACACUGAGGCUCGAAAGUGUGGGUAUCAAACAGGAUUAGAUACCCCAGUAGUC
RNAcentral lists this ribosomal RNA (459 nucleotides) under uncultured bacterium. RNAcentral's name for it is "partial 16S ribosomal RNA". It matches the Rfam family "Bacterial small subunit ribosomal RNA", at positions 338 to 795 of the family's 1533-position model. The record is from RNAcentral.